UACGAAGGGGGCUAGCGUUGCUCGGAAUCACUGGGCGUAAAGCGCACGUAGGCGGCUUUCUAAGUCAGGGGUGAAAUCCUGGAGCUCAACUCCAGAACUGCCUUUGAUACUGGAGAGCUCGAGUCCGGAAGAGGUGAGUGGAACUCCGAGUGUAGAGGUGAAAUUCGUAGAUAUCAGGAGGAACACCGGUGGCGAAGGCGGCUACCUGGACAGAAACUGACGCUGAGGCGCGAAAGCUAGGGGAGCAAACAGG
Molecule: ribosomal RNA, 253 nt
Filed under: uncultured bacterium
Lineage: Bacteria
Description: partial 16S ribosomal RNA
Rfam family: Bacterial small subunit ribosomal RNA
Source: RNAcentral